This 83-nucleotide transfer RNA is filed under the name Bacteroidota bacterium. RNAcentral describes it as "tRNA-Ser". It matches the Rfam family "tRNA". Rfam says of the family: Transfer RNA (tRNA) molecules are approximately 80 nucleotides in length. Their secondary structure includes four short double-helical elements and three loops (D, anti-codon, and T loops). Further hydrogen bonds mediate the characteristic L-shaped molecular structure. tRNAs have two regions of fundamental functional importance: the anti-codon, which is responsible for specific mRNA codon recognition, and the 3' end, to which the tRNAs corresponding amino acid is attached (by aminoacyl-tRNA synthetases). tRNAs cope with the degeneracy of the genetic code in two manners: having more than one tRNA (with a specific anti-codon) for a particular amino acid; and 'wobble' base-pairing, i.e. permitting non-standard base-pairing at the 3rd anti-codon position. Lineage: Bacteria; Pseudomonadati; Bacteroidota. The record is from RNAcentral.
GGUGAGCUGGCAGAACGGCUAUUGCACCGGUCUUGAAAACCGGCGUCCGCAAGGACUUGUAGGUUCGAAUCCUACGCUCACCG